RNAcentral lists this ribosomal RNA (406 nucleotides) under uncultured bacterium. RNAcentral's name for it is "partial 16S ribosomal RNA". It matches the Rfam family "Bacterial small subunit ribosomal RNA", at positions 29 to 526 of the family's 1533-position model. The record is from RNAcentral.
AUUGAACGCUGGCGGCAGGCCUAACACAUGCAAGUCGAACGAGUGGCGGACGGGUGAGUAAUGUCUGGGAAACUGCCCGAUGGAGGGGGAUAACUACUGGAAACGGUAGCUAAUACCGCAUACCAUCGGAUGUGCCCAGAUGGGAGUCGCUAGUAGGUGGGGUAAAGGCUCACCUAGGCCACGAUCCCUAGCUGGUCUGAGAGGAUGACGAGCCGCACUGGAACUGAGACACGGUCCGUACUCCUACGGGGGGCAGCAGGGGGAAAGUUUGCACAAGGGGCGCAAGCAGGAUGCAGCCAUGCCGCGUGUAUGAAGAAGGCCUUCGGGUUGUAAAGUACUUUCAGCGAGGAGGCGUUACUCGCAGAAGAAGCACCGGCUAACUCCGUGCCAGCAGCCGCGGUAAUAC